UUUUAGAAUUUAAUUUAAAGUCUAACCUGCCCACUGAAUAGAUUUUAAAUGGCCGCAGUAUUUUAACUGUGCAAAGGUAGCAUAAUCAUUAGUCUUUUAAUUGAAGGCUGGAAUGAAUGGUUGAAUGAAAUAUUAACUGUUUCAUAAUAAUUUUUAAUAAAAUUUUAUUUUUUAGUCAAAAAGCUAAAAUAAAAUUAAAAGACGAGAAGACCCUAUAAAUCUUUAUAUUUAUUUAAUUUUAAUUAUUUAGAUAAAUUAAAUUAAAUUUAAAUUAAAUAUUUUAUUGGGGUGAUAUUAAAAUUUAAUAAACUUUUAAUAAAAUUUAAACAAAAAUUAAUGAAUUAUUGAUCCAUAAAUUAUGAUUAAAAAAUUAAGUUACUUUAGGGAUAACAGCGUAAUUUUUUUAGAGAGUUCAUAUUGAUAAAAA
RNAcentral lists this ribosomal RNA (427 nucleotides) under Megaselia feshiensis. Its description in RNAcentral is "partial 16S ribosomal RNA". The record is from RNAcentral. Lineage: Eukaryota; Metazoa; Arthropoda; Insecta; Diptera; Phoridae.